GGGAAAACCCACCUGAAACACCCUCUACCCUGCAGCCCCACACAGCCUACAGAGCUUGUUGUGAUGGCAUGCUGGGAAAGAUACAAGCGGAUGGUGCUUAAAACAAGUGCGUGUGCUGUGCAUCUGGAACAUCUUUACAAGAUGCUUUCUGCCUUCCCCAGAUAUACCUGGACUCACAGCCCUUUGAAAUACAACCUGAGCGGCAGAUUUACGACCAUCAAACCGCGUCUUUAUCCCGACGUGAAACAGAGCAAUGGCUGUGCGAAGCGGUUAUCCGGAGGGGCAGCGCGGCUUACAAGCAGCAGCAAUUACUGCGUGAGAGCCGGCAUUUCUCUGCAGGAGAGGCAGCAGGCGCGGACUCCCCCCGGCAGCAGCACCCCCGUCCUUCCAGCAGGAGCUGCAGCGUUCACGCCGUGUCCCGGCGGCUUUCCUCCCCUGGAAAGCCAGAAAGUCCCACCUUGUAACCCCCCUCAUUCUCAACGUUUGAAUAACCACCUACAGCGGGUCAAAACCCGACCAGAAGUGCGUUCCCAGGGUCACACCCCGCCACCACUCGCCCUCCUCCAUCCUCCCCUGAACGCACGGUAUCCCUGAGGGCAGCCCGAUGCCCCCAGCCCUGAGCUGCUGGCCUCCCAGAGGAGCCUCACGAGUUCUGCCCCAACCCGCCGGUCCGCUCUGCUCCCAGCGCCCCGCAGCAUCACUCAGCCGUGUGCGAACCACCCCUACCUCCCUCGGUUCGGGCUGUGAGAGCACCGGGCUCGCCCGAGGAAAGCUUUCAGCCCUGGCUGCCUUUGCAAAGCUCCCAGGCGAUUCACACUCGCUCUUUCACAGGGAAACUAAACUAGAAAUGAAAAGCUGAGAUUUUUGGGAGGGAGGCAGAGGAGGUCCUGCUCCCAGUCUAGGUUUCUUUGCUCCACAUCAGCGACAAGCCUCCCUCCGUGAGUGCUUGCAACCAUUGCCAUCGAGCUGACUGCAAAAUGAGGGGUCUUUAGCUCAGGCAUUUGCUGGAUAUGUUGGCAAAAAAUAAAAAAUAAAUAAAAAAUAAAAAAUAAAAAAUA
This 1058-nucleotide long non-coding RNA is filed under the name Phasianus colchicus (ring-necked pheasant). RNAcentral's name for it is "lncRNA (ENSPCLG00000006401.1)". Lineage: Eukaryota; Metazoa; Chordata; Aves; Galliformes; Phasianidae. The record is from RNAcentral.